This 428-nucleotide ribosomal RNA is filed under the name uncultured bacterium. Its description in RNAcentral is "bacterial SSU rRNA". It matches the Rfam family "Bacterial small subunit ribosomal RNA", at positions 29 to 457 of the family's 1533-position model. The record is from RNAcentral.
AUUGAACGCUGGCGGCGUGCUUAACACAUGCAAGUCGUGCGGUAACAGGCGUAGCAAUACGUGCUGACGAGCGGCGAACGGGUGCGUAAUACAUGGGAAUCUGCCCUUUAGUGGGGAAUAACCCGGCGAAAGCCGGGCUAAUGCCGCAUAAGAUCUUCGGAUGAAAGCGGGGGAUCGUAAGACCUCGCGCUGAUGGAUGAGCCCAUGCCGGAUUAGCAGUUGGUGAGGUAACGGCUCACCAAGGCGACGAUCCGUAGCUGGUCUGAGAGGACGGCCAGCCACACUGGGACUGAGACACGGCCCAGACUCCUACGGGAGGCAGCAGUGGGGAAUAUUGGACAAUGGGCGCAAGCCUGAUCCAGCGAUGCCGCGUGUGUGAAGAAGGCCUGCGGGUUGUAAAGCACUUUCAGUAGGGAAGAAAGCCGAGU